CUUUUACAAUGAAGAGUUUGAUCCUGGCUCAGGAUGAACGCUAGCUACAGGCUUAACACAUGCAAGUCGAGGGGCAGCAUUUUAGUUUGCUUGCAAACUGAAGAUGGCGACCGGCGCACGGGUGAGUAACACGUAUCCAACCUGCCGAUAACUCCGGAAUAGCCUUUCGAAAGAAAGAUUAAUACCGGAUAGCAUACGAAUAUCGCAUGAUAUUUUUAUUAAAGAAUUUCGGUUAUCGAUGGGGAUGCGUUCCAUUAGUUUGUUGGCGGGGUAACGGCCCACCAAGACUACGAUGGAUAGGGGUUCUGAGAGGAAGGUCCCCCACAUUGGAACUGAGACACGGUCCAAACUCCUACGGGAGGCAGCAGUGAGGAAUAUUGGUCAAUGGGCGAGAGCCUGAACCAGCCAAGUAGCGUGAAGGAUGAAGGCUCUAUGGGUCGUAAACUUCUUUUAUAUGGGAAUAAAGUUUUCCACGUGUGGAAUUUUGUAUGUACCAUAUGAAUAAGGAUCGGCUAACUCCGUGCCAGCAGCCGCGGUAAUACGGAGGAUCCGAGCGUUAUCCGGAUUUAUUGGGUUUAAAGGGAGCGUAGGUGGAUUGUUAAGUCAGUUGUGAAAGUUUGCGGCUCAACCGUAAAAUUGCAGUUGAAACUGGCAGUCUUGAGUACAGUAGAGGUGGGCGGAAUUCGUGGUGUAGCGGUGAAAUGCUUAGAUAUCACGAAGAACUCCGAUUGCGAAGGCAGCUCACUAGACUGUUACUGACACUGAUGCUCGAAAGUGUGGGUAUCAAACAGGAUUAGAUACCCUGGUAGUCCACACAGUAAACGAUGAAUACUCGCUGUUUGCGAUAUACAGUAAGCGGCCAAGCGAAAGCAUUAAGUAUUCCACCUGGGGAGUACGCCGGCAACGGUGAAACUCAAAGGAAUUGACGGGGGCCCGCACAAGCGGAGGAACAUGUGGUUUAAUUCGAUGAUACGCGAGGAACCUUACCCGGGCUUAAAUUGCAACAGAAUAUAUUGGAAACAGUAUAGCCGUAAGGCUGUUGUGAAGGUGCUGCAUGGUUGUCGUCAGCUCGUGCCGUGAGGUGUCGGCUUAAGUGCCAUAACGAGCGCAACCCUUAUCUUUAGUUACUAACAGGUUAUGCUGAGGACUCUAGAGAGACUGCCGUCGUAAGAUGUGAGGAAGGUGGGGAUGACGUCAAAUCAGCACGGCCCUUACGUCCGGGGCUACACACGUGUUACAAUGGGGGGUACAGAAGGCGGCUACCUGGUGACAGGAUGCUAAUCCCAAAAACCUCUCUCAGUUCGGAUCGAAGUCUGCAACCCGACUUCGUGAAGCUGGAUUCGCUAGUAAUCGCGCAUCAGCCAUGGCGCGGUGAAUACGUUCCCGGGCCUUGUACACACCGCCCGUCAAGCCAUGAAAGCCGGGGGUACCUGAAGUACGUAACCGCAAGGAGCGUCCUAGGGUAAAACUGGUAAUUGGGGCUAAGUCGUAACAAGGUAGCCGUACCGGAAGGUGCGGCUGGAACACCUCCUUUCUGGAGC
RNAcentral lists this ribosomal RNA (1541 nucleotides) under Bacteroides sp. HMSC073E02. Its description in RNAcentral is "bacterial SSU rRNA". It matches the Rfam family "Bacterial small subunit ribosomal RNA". The record is from RNAcentral. Lineage: Bacteria; Pseudomonadati; Bacteroidota; Bacteroidia; Bacteroidales; Bacteroidaceae.